Molecule: long non-coding RNA, 204 nt
Filed under: Lathyrus oleraceus (garden pea)
Lineage: Eukaryota; Viridiplantae; Streptophyta; Magnoliopsida; Fabales; Fabaceae
Description: Pisum sativum (pea) long non-coding RNA (PSAT_LNC014857)
Source: RNAcentral
GUGGUUAUUGUUUGCUUUAUGGAAGAUUGAGAGAAGUGUGAAGAAGGAUUUUUGCAUAAAAAUCGAGAUUUGUGGGUUUGUAGAAAAACUUGUAAGGAGGGUAACGUGUUGGUUAAAGGGGUUUGUUUUUUCUUGUAACAGUUUGCACAAUGGAUUAAUAUUGUGGUUUUAAUGGUGUUUUGGCGGAGCGAAAUAGACGGUAUG